RNAcentral lists this long non-coding RNA (1218 nucleotides) under Mus musculus (house mouse). RNAcentral describes it as "predicted gene, 32635 (Gm32635)". Lineage: Eukaryota; Metazoa; Chordata; Mammalia; Rodentia; Muridae. The record is from RNAcentral.
CUUCCUGGCUAUGCCUUCCUGGCCACACCUUCCCCAUCUCGCUUUCCCCACAGUGAUGUGGACUGUCCUGUGGGGCUGUGGCCCAGAAUAAAGCCUUCUUCCCUUAACAGACUUCUUGUCAGGCAUCUGGUCACAGCCAUGAGCGGCUACUGCACCGUCUGUCUGCCCUUGCUCACAGAGAAACUGUCGCCCCUGCGGAUUCGGAAGGAUUGCCGAUGCUGUAGCUGGUUCCCAGGAGCAAAUCCUCCACAGGGGAAAGGUAACUCUCGAAGCAUGAUCAUGUUCCUGCAUCUGUCAUCGAUGUCACACAACUGAUCAGGUCUGCUGUCACCAUGAAGCCAUCAGACACGAGCGAAAGCAAGCUAUGGUAUCAGUAUUACACGGGGCUCCAGUUUGCACUCAGCUGAGGACCAUUCUGCGUGGAGUUGCUGUUCUGAGGGAUGUGGAGGUUAUUCCUUACCUGCUCUUGUUCCCAGUUCCGUGUCUUCCAUCAACACGUGUCUUUUGUGACUCCUUGGUGUGACUUGAGCAUACCGUACACAUACUGACCUCUUGACUUAGGAAACAAAAUGAAGUUGAAUUGACUCUCUUUCCUUGGCCUGGCCAUAGAACUUGGGGGGGGGGGUGUCUGUCCCCCUCCCAUCUGGUGAGGAGACUACAAAGGCCUGAAGGCAAGGGAAGGUCUGUGGAUGGCUCCCAGCUUCUGCAUAUCUCAGCAAUCCCAAGCUCUGGCUUGAGACAGUUGGGUUGUAUCAGCCAAGGUCUACUGUGCUGGUAGCUUGGUACUUAGUGUAGAGACACCAAAAGGUGGAGGGACCUUUAAGGACAGAGCCCAGAAGGGGAUGACUGGGCCCCGGGGGCUGCUGUACCAAGAAGGGGCUAAGACAGGUCUCUUACUUAGGACCUGAGUUGGUUCUCAGAGUAAGAGAAGAUGUUUUGUCAGGACCUCAGUCCCAGCCACGCCCAUGGCCCCAGCCACGCCUACUGCCCAAGCCACGCCUACCACCCCAGCCUGCCCACCGCUCCAGCCACGCCUACCGCUCCAGCAAUGCCCACACCCUGCUCACCACCCCACCCAGAUCAACUUCCUGUCUCACCAUGUGAUCCCUAACUUCUGGUGCCUCCACUGUAACAUCAUACAGAAGUCCUUCGGUGGGACGUCCAUUUACUCUGUCAACUUCCAAAACAAUUAGUUAAAUAAAUCUCUUGGUAGUAAGA